GGGCCUUAGCUCAGCUGGGAGAGCGCCUGCUUUGCACGCAGGAGGUCAGCGGUUCGAUCCCG
RNAcentral lists this transfer RNA (62 nucleotides) under Listeria monocytogenes. RNAcentral describes it as "tRNA-Ala". It matches the Rfam family "tRNA", at positions 2 to 61 of the family's 71-position model. From Rfam's summary of the family: Transfer RNA (tRNA) molecules are approximately 80 nucleotides in length. Their secondary structure includes four short double-helical elements and three loops (D, anti-codon, and T loops). The record is from RNAcentral. Lineage: Bacteria; Bacillati; Bacillota; Bacilli; Caryophanales; Listeriaceae.